Molecule: long non-coding RNA, 17514 nt
Organism: Brassica rapa (field mustard)
Lineage: Eukaryota; Viridiplantae; Streptophyta; Magnoliopsida; Brassicales; Brassicaceae
Source: RefSeq, a predicted model, not a curated record
UUUGGUUGUAAGUCUGAAAACAUUAAUUAAUCAUUUGUAUAUUUUUCUAAAUCCAAGAUAUAAAGUCUUUUAUGUAUUUUGUUUUCUAGAGCUAAAAAAAAUAAAAAAAAUUGGUAGCUUUGAAAACAAAUCUGAUUUUGGUUAGCAAAAAAAUUUCUGUUGUGAUAUUACGCUAGAUUUAGUAAUACAGUUCGAGUUAGGAUGAUUGCUUUUUGUUUGUUUCAUCGUUGAAUGCUACUCUCUUCUUUGUCGGCAAUAUAUUGUAUUAGAUGCAAAGAUAUGUUACAAAGUGUUCUAAGAUACACCAUAUCUUAAAAUUUGUUUCCUUAACAAAAUAGCAAGAUCGUCAAUUUCAGAAACAAUGAUUCGGAGUGCAUUACUAUUGUCCUGGAUGCUGAUUGGCUCCAACCAAAUAGCAUUUUACUUCUAGAAAGGUAUUAAGCUCACUGAAGAGGACCCAAUUGUCACCAACAAACACAACUUCAUCAGAAACCAGUCUAUUACUUCUUUGACAACUUCAACUUCCAAAGAUCAAUAUUUGUACUUGCUUUAAUGACUUGUAGUCCUUCCUAUAUGGUGCACAUCCUAUGCCUGCUAGGUCUUUUGGUGAAGACCAUGAUGCAUCUACAAUAUAUACAGUCUUACUUGUUUGUAAUCUUAAGAAGAAUUACCGUUGAUAUUUGUAUAUUGAAUUUGAUGUCGUUCCUCCCAUGUUUUGGCUUUAUCUCAAUCCCAUAGUUUUCGUUGAUAAUAGAGUUAUUAAUCACUUGUGAGAUGAAUUAUAUAUGAUUUGGGAAGAUUAAUUAAUAUACUCCUUAUUUUCCAAAUUUGCCAUUUAGUAAACAAGGCCAAGUCAUCAAUCAAAGGCGACUGAGGAGGAAGUAACUGAUAGUAACCAGCUCAAAUAUUGAGAAUAAUCACCCAACUUGGUUGGUUUUCGAGUGGUGCCAGUUCCAUACUUAUUUCGCAAUCCAUUGGAAUACUAGAUGAUUGAGUGAUUCAAGUGCUUCCCCACAUAGCUGACGAUGAUGAUGAUUAUAACUUAACAUCCCCUUUUGAGUUUUUAUCUGUUACUGGCAAGGUAUUAUAUAAACAACUCUCGACAUGAGCAACAGAUUCUGUCUUGAUGAUUUUUCGAGGUGGGAGAAAUCGAGAAGUAUAUUCCACUCAUCUCGAUUUUUAUUCCACAGUAAUUAAAUGAGUAUCACUAUUGCAAAUUUAAGUAAAAGAACCCGAGGGAAGUGUGCACUUUCUACCGCUUAGAUCGUUUUCGUGUAUAUACCAUCAUUAGUUAGUUAAUCAAUUCUAUAACAUUUUCAUACUCUUCUUUUUUAUCAUGUGCUUUUCUUUAUUGAAAUGGAAUUAUAAUUGGCAUGUUACCCUAACUUGAUCAUAGGUAAUCGAGUUUAAGACCAAACAAAAAUUAGAGAAAGUGAGACAAAAUGUCACUAGAAGCUUUUUUAAGAAAAUGAGAAGGAAUGUAAUAAGUGAGAAUAAACCUUCCUGAUUCCUACCAAGUUUUUUUGGACAACAUUUUGGUAGAAAGAUCAACUUUUCAUUUUUAGAUUGACGGAAAUGAGACACAAUAUGAUUAGAAGCUUUAAAAUAAUUUGGAAUGUGCUGUGGAAGUGAGAAUAAACUUUAUGAUUCCUACCAAUUUUUAUAAACAACAUAUACACUUGGUUUAAGGAUAAACUUUCAUAUUUCUUUAACCUGGUAUAAACUUGGAAGAGUUAUUAUCCGGUACGAGCAACUUAAUGAAAAACAAAUUAAAGUAAUAUUUAAAUAUAUUGAUAUUAGGUCAUUCAUUUUAUCAUGAUUGAUUUAUUUUAAUUGACGUCCGUAAAAAGUUUUUGGUGAUUUAUCAUUAGAGACCUUAGUGCUCGAACUGGUGGUUGAAAUUUUGAAAAACAGGUGGGAUUAAACUUCAGUUUUUUUUUAAAAAUUAGUUUAUGUUGAAUCUGAGGAAUACCUAGCGUCAGGAUUGUGUAUCCCAUAUGAAUUAUUUGAAAUAAUCAUAAUUUUUAAAUAACAACUGAUAAUUACGUGUGUCAAAAAAAAUAUAUCAUGAUUAGACCAUGAUGUUGAAUAUAUACUUGAAUUACUUGUUGUACAGUUUCUUUUUUCACUUCUACUUGUUGCAUAUACCACUCGGCGCAUCACACAUCAAGUACCAAAAUAGAUUUGUUGUUUGGAUGCUUGUUGUCCCAUUAUGUUAAUACUUUUCCUGGCUUUUCUUCUUCUUCGUAUUAAUGCAAGUUUGCUAAAUAAACCCAUCGUAGUUAUAAUAUUCAAAUACUAUAGGGUUUACAAUAAUGAUGUCUAAUGUAUGCUUUCUUUUGAUGGGACCUUGCUUGCACUGGCCGUCAGAGGAGAGAAAUUAACCAGGUCAAAACUAGUGACCAAAUAAAAUUAGGUCAAAAUUAAGAUCGAGAUGAUUGAAGCAGGUACGAGAGGGAAGAAAGGUCGAAAGAUAAUGAAACUGGUAUAUUAUCAAGAAUAUGCAUGUCCACUUAUAAAUUUUUGAAAAUAAAAAUAACAUUAACCAAUCAAAAGUCAAAACUAACAACUUGGACAUUCCAUUGUUUUACAAAAGAGCUAUCUACCAUUGGAUAUAUCAAUGGACUAAUAAUGUUCAAGUUAUCUUCGCAUAUGUUCAAGAUCUCGCUUUUGAAUUUAAAGGCUACCAAAAGUGGGAUGUGCCUAAGGGUGGACACUAACAAGCUCACGAAUCUAAUGCGUUCACUGUGGCUGUAGCAGUACAGACUGGACGCUCGCAGCAAACUAUAUUUUAUCACCAUUUAACAUUUGCUGUCAACGGUUAAUUUAUAAAGUAAAUGGUUAUAAAAUGUGAAAUGUGCAUAAGCAUGCUUGUUAUCUCAGUUUAUCGUGUAAUACUUGUUAUUCAGCAUCUUCACUCAACAUAUGUUAUUAAUUGCUUCAAUUAUAUUUUUUUUGGUUAUAAAUGGAAGAUUUUAUAGCCAGAAAAAGUGCAAAACCCACUAGUUAUUAGAGUAGCAAAUGUUUUUAUCAUAGUUAACACGUCUAUAACUAAACAUAAUUGGGUAGUCAAUGGUAGAGAAACCCAAAUUUUCAUCUUGAUCCAUAGAGUGAAAAUCACUUCUAGUUAAUUCUAGUUGUUCCAAUGUAAUUCUACUUCUUCUGUUCUCCCCCACGAUGUUUUGUCUCAUCUGGUGCAUCCUUGAUUCCUGAUUUCACUAUGCGGGCCAUUAGUCAACAAAUGUAUGUUUUUUGUUGUUACAAUAGGUUAACUUAAUAUAUGUAUAACAUGUAAGAUAAUCUCGUCAGUAUAAUGUAUAUAGAAGCAGCAUAAUUUACGCAUGCAUGUUUAUUAAUGUAUUACGGAGGACUUUUAUCUCCAUUUUCGUUGCCAUCAUUAUACAAGUCAACAUCGGCCAACCGUAUGACUAGAAUUUUCAAACUAGGCAAUAUACCGUCUUCGUUCAUUGAUGUUUUUUUUUUGACUGAAAAAAAUACCGUUCAUUGAUGUUUAGGUUAAGUAUAUUCAAAUAAAAUUCAUCACAUGCAGAUGAUGUUAUAAACGUGUGCAAUUAAUGUGAUUCCACAUCACUAAUUUUAAACAUUUAAUAUAAGGCAACGUCUGAAGAUACUCUAAUAAAAUAGUUGAUACCAUUCUAAUGUAAUACUCCAUUUGUUCCUUAAUAUUACAUAUUCUAGGAAAAAAAUUUGUUUAAAAAAAUCUAUUUUUUAUAUUUCUAAGACAUGUUUUAUUAACUAAUUGUAAAUUUCAAAAAAACUUAAUUGCACUUAUUGAAUUGUUAUUGGUUUAAAAUUAUGAAACAAAGAUAAACACAAAAAAAUAUGCAAAUUUAAUGUGUUUUAUUAAAAUGUGUGAAAAAUCUAGAAUAUGUAACAUUAAAAAACAGAAGGAGUAUGUUUUAAGAAAUGUUGAUGUUCCGAUAUAUAAAUUGUUUCUAUAUUUUUAGAUAAAUUAUAAAUUUAUCAAAAAUUAUGUGAUCAAUCAUAUUUUAUAAUUUAUUUUGUAAUUAGUUGAAUAGUAUUUAUUUAUAGAUUUUAUUAUAUUUUAAUACAAUUUUUUUUCUUGAUAUGUGUGUUCUACUUAAAAUAUUUUAUGUUUUAAAUGGAGAGAGUGUACUCUUUCCGUUUCAAAUAUGUGUAUUUUAGAAUUUUGAUACAUAUUAAAAAUAUAUUAAUUUUGACUUUUAAUACAUUUUUUCUAAUUAACUAUUUUCCGCAACUCGUAAACAAUACUCCCUCCAUUCCUAAUUAUAAGAUUUUUUAGAUAAAACAUGAUUAAGAAAAUUAUUUUUUAUCUAAAAGGUACUAUUAAAAUUAUAAAUUAAUAACUACUCAACCAAUUACAAAAUAUAAUUAUUAAAUUUGAUUGAUUAUACAGUUUUUGAUAAAGUUAAAGUUAGCUAGAAAUAUGAGAACAUCUUACAUAUUAGAACAUAAAAAUUCUUCUAAACAUCUCAUAUUUCGGUACGGAGAGAGAAUAAUUUAUUAAACACAAUUAUGUUUUAUAAAAUUUAUAAUUUACUAUUAAGUAAUACAUAAAAUGUAUAUGUUGAAGAAAAAAAAUUAUAAAGCGUGGAUGUUUGAAAUGGAGGUAGUAUUGUUUUGUUCCAUUUUAACGUUCCUUGUGUUUAGAACACCUAACAUUAGUAACAGAGAUAUUUUCAGAAUACCUUUCCGUUAUUCUUUAUCAAUUGAUGAUGUGAGUUGGAAACUCAUGAUUUUUAAGACUUGUAAGUGAUAUAGUAGUUACAAAAAUCAAGCUAGGUUAUACAAUUUCAAUAAUUUUGUAAUGUAGUUUCUAGAUCGAUUCUUGAACAUGAACUUGCUCAGGCCCGGACAGAGAAAGCACAAAUAAAUUUUUGUCUCAGCGUAUCCAAAAUUUAACUGUAUUCAUACAUAACAUAUGCUUUUUUACAAUAUUUACAAUAGUUGCAUAUAUAUAUAUAUAUUAUUUAACAUCUUUUGUAUAUUGGAAUUUUUAUUAUUUUAAUUUAAGGAAAACAUAUAUUGAUGAUUUUGCAUUUGGUAUUUAAUUAUGAGCAUGCUGGAGCAUCAAUCUAUCCGUUUCCACCUGAAGGAAAUUAUUUUAAAGCCACUGAACAAUUAGUAAAAUUAUAUGUUUUAUAUAAUAUAUAUCUCCAUAGCCUACAUCUAUUUACAAUGCGUGCAUACGAUAGAGAUUCGUGAGAAUACAAUACUGAAUAAACAUAUUCAGAGUAACAUAGUAACUAACGUUUUAGUGGAAAAGGGAACAAGUGGACAAUGAUUUAUAUACUUCACUAAACUAAUUAAAUUACGAAAAACUAAUUAAAUUACGAAAACUAAAAAUAAAGGGAAAAAGAACAGAGAGAGAGAUAAUAUAUUUUUUUCCAAUAAUUUCUGAAAGAAGAAAUAAAUAAAUACAAAAAGCAAGAAGAAUCUAACUAAGAAAUAAAGAAAAAAAAAAUCUGCAACAAGUAAAUGGAAUAUAAUGGCGCCUCUACCUCUCGCCGCGUAACAAGAGAGGUCGCGUCCUCAUGCUCACUCCUGGAGAUUCUUCUUGGCCUUCUUUCUUUCCACCUUGGCCUUUUGCAUGUUGCAUUUUAUAUACAAUUAAGGUUUCCAUUAUAUGCGGUUUCUAUUAUAGUUUGAUACAAACAAAUUGAUCAAAAGAUAUCGUAAAUGAUAGGUAUUUGAUAAAUUUAGUCUAUAUGCACUACAAGAGAACAUACCAUAUUCCGAUAAAAAUUUCCUACAAAAUGCAUUGUCAGAAAAUUACCGACCAUGUACUGAGAAAAUGGCGAGGAAGAACAAAAAAAUCGUAGAAGCAGGGCGGCCCUGGACAUGAAAUAUCUUGGUUUAUAUUUUUCAACGUUUAAAAAGCCUAAAAUUGUUUAGCUCUUUCAAAUAUUUCGUAACUUGUUGAGCAUAUAAAUCAAUACUCAAAUACAACUUUAAAAGAAAAACAGCUCAAAUAUAAAGACAUGAAAUGGUAAUUCGAUAUAUCUUAUUUCAGCGUUAAGAUAUGCUAUUGUGGGAUCUGUUUUCUUAUUAUUAUUUUUUUAGAAAUUAGGGGAAGGAUUAGUCAUUUGUGGGAUGGAGAUUUAAAGCAACACUUUUCGAUACAUGAAUAUAUGCAUUUCUUUUUCUUUGUUUAGUCUAAGUUCUCAUUUUCUCAUUACUAAUUUAGUUAAUAUCAUUUUAGAGUUGUAAUGUGUCACGUCUUUGUUAGAAGUAGCGUAUUCCCCUUUUCUUGUAUUUAGCUUACAUUCAACUAUAAUAUGAUAUCAAAAGAAUAUAUGUAAGAUUCAUUAGCAUAUGUCAAACUUGUUGUCACUAAACUAAUAGUAAAUCAGUAUUAACUACCGUGUCAUUAGGAAAAUUAUCUGUUAAAUGAGCACUAUAAAGAUAAAUAACCACACAUUCAUGAGACAUAUAAUACUCAGAGGCGCAAAAGGUGUUUAUGAAUAUGGUGUUACGUGAAUCGCCUAAGUUCACGUCGACGGAUAAUGAUCAAAAUUAACUGAAUCGAAUCUGAUUCUUUUAACCAAAAAUAAGUAAAUCACAUAAGAAAAGGGAAGAUACUGAUGAUAACUAAAGUGUAUAUCGGCUUUAGCAACAUAUAUAAUAGAGAAAAAAACAUAUAUAAUAGAUAUAAAAAAAUCUUACAAAAGCGGAUGGAGCUCUCACAGACACAGUGGUAUAUAUACCACUUAGUAUUUAUUUAUGUUGAUAUAUGUACAGACUGAGACUAACAAAUCAUGCCCGUCUUUUAGUUUGAAAUAUACGUUUUUUGUAACUUGAAAGAUAAGUUUUCUUGGAGUAUAGAUAUAUUUCUAUUGUAAGACUAUAUGGAUGUCUGUUCUAAAGUAGGUUUGCUUUUGAUUUUCUUGUUUAUCUAGUAAAAUUUGUUUUCUGUACCGAUUUAUUUAUUAACUGUGAAAAUUCCAGACUUUAAAUCUACAAUUUUUCACAUGUUUGAAGUUAGUUUAGCAAAAAAUCCGACUUAAAGAAUAGCAUUUCGUGCCACAAAUGUUUUAAAUUCGAGAUAUAAGAAAACCGAUCCUUUGGAGAUACCCAUAUAAAAAAUUGCUAUCAAUGUUUUUUGUGAGAACUAUUGCGAUCAAUGUUGGGUACGUAGAAAGCAUUAUAGGUAAAAAAGUAGGAACAACCCGAUCAUUAUUUUAUUGAGUAAUUGGUAAGAUUGCCCCGGCAACUAAUUUGCAAAAUACACUUUUUUCGAAACUAUUUUUUUCGGACCCUUUUACCCCUCAACAGAGCGCGAGUCCAAAGGCAAUAGAUCUGCGUCGCGUGUGUUGUGUGUCAGAGACCCCCUUUCAACCCAUUGGAUAAUAUUGUGGCUCACGCCUGUUCAGGUUCUGCAGACGAAAGUGUGUGAAUCUUCUCUAUCAUUUUCGAACUUCCAACAGUCGCAUUCAUUCACAUUUCCUCAACUACUAAUUCCCCUUUUUCAAACCGAGAUCCAUCAAUUCAUUCAUUCACCGCAAUAAACCCUAAUUUUUCAAUUUGGGAUUAAUUCUGUCUCCGACAAACUACCUGAGAUGGAAGAAGAACUACUACCGCCAAGGAUGUUCGCCGCGGGUGAUGAACCCCUUGGAGAGCGAGUCAACUCGUAUCACAAGUUGAAAAGGACUGAGAUGCUCAUUGACGCUUUAGAACCUGAAGAGUUGGCUUUUCUACGUAAAUCAACUUUCGGGAAGGUUCUUGCCAUCGAAGAGAAUCCGCCGUUCUCCGGUGCUUUUGGGCAACAUGUUGUUGUUAGGCUGCUCAAAGUGAACAAAAAGUACGAGGUUUGUAUUCUAUUUGCUGGAAAUCCUGUCAGGAUGUCACUCCGCGAGUUCGCAAUUGUCACGGGGCUGAACUGUCAGAAGAUCCCAGAACCCACGAAGAGGAAGAAGAAUCCUUUGAAAGUGAAGCUUUACUGGAACGAACUGUUUGGCUCUUUGAAGUUCUGUUCCGUCAACAUUGCUAUAGACAUGCUGAAGAAGAAGGUUGUUAAAGGUACUGAAGCCAGGAUCAAGUUUGCGUGCCUUGCAAUCACAUAGUCGAUUCUGUUUCCUUCUUCACACGCACCGCGCAUCAUGCCAGACCAUGUUGAGAUGAUACGAGAUUUAGAUGAGUUUCUCGCUUUCCCCUGGGGGCGAGCUUCUUUCCACACUCUUGUUACCUCCCUGAUCUCGAAGGACGAAAUCGCAUUAUCGCAAGCUUCCGUUGCGAUCCGCGGCUACGUCGAUGCUAUUCAGAUGGUUCUAUUGGCUGCAAUUCCAGAACUCAAAGAAGAGAUCACACAGUCGGAGCCAAUUGUCAUCGAGGAUUCAGAGAGCAAUGAUGAGUCGACUUUGGAACAUGCACCGCCGGAAGAAGAAAAAGCGCUGCAUUCAGAGAAACCAUCUCAGACGACCAAAUACUGUCUCAUUCCGGGGCACGCGAAGAGCGUAGAUACCGAUUGCCAGGUAGCAAAGAACACUCAACUUAUUUAGUAGAUGUUAUAAUUCUCGUUAUCAAUUAAUUUCAUUUCUUAACUGGCAUUGUAAGCAUUACUCGUUACGGUAAAAGUUAAAUACUAACUUAUGACCAGUCAGUUAACAUCACUUAAAAUCAAUUCACUUGUUAAGUCACCAAGCAUCGCGUUAACCCCUUAAUUAACGGAUACAACGGUUCUAACCAUAUCUAUAUUUUACUAAAUCCAGGUGCGUGUGAAGUGCAUUCUAGAUGAACCGUACGAAGAUUGGUCAGCUGGACUAGACUUCCUGUGGCCUGAUGAGUACGACGACCCUGCUGUUGAUAACAUGGUCCGCCUGAUUAACGAGGGUUUUGCUUUCCGAAAGGAAAUGUUCAAGGGGGGUGUCUCCGCAACUGAUCUUGCACGUAUGAGGGCAGAGAAGAAACUGAAGGAGAAAGAACCAAAAGAAAAAUACGAUAAGGACCACUACCCGGAGGCUCAAGACUGUGAUGGUUCGGACUCUCAAACCCACAUUUUAAUAGCUAAUAUGGUUGCCUCACAGCUUGGUGAGAAGAUUAGGUCCCCACCCACUGAUGUACGAGUUGAGAUCAGCUCUCUGGAGAAGCGUAUAUAUGAAGCACUUGACGCUAAAUUAGAGAAAAUUGUGGCGUCUACCAUUCAAUCCCAGCACGUAGCUUUCAUCCAGAACACCAUCUCACAAUAUCUCCAAGGUAUUGAUAAGAAGGUCGCUGACACUCUUGCUUGCCAACUGAAGACGAUGGAAGCUUCACUUCUCAAGGUUUUGUCUCAAGCAAUUGGUCAGCCCUGCUCCAGCCAUGAUGCUCCAGGGGGGGGAAACCUUUUAUGAAGAGUCAAACUAGCAUCCACAGUUGUCAGAGAACGUGGUUCCUCAUGUCAACCCAAGCAUUCCAGCAGAGCCUGACAAUAUCACCCCCGCAGAAACUGCUGAUUUUCGCAUAAACGCCGUUCUCCGCGACCUGAACACUGUUCCUGACUUGUCGACUCACGAAACUUCAGACGUUAACUUUCGGAGUGUACCAUUAGAGGGGAAAUUGUCGGACAAUAAAGAUAAUCAAGUUGCUGAACCGGUAAGGAUCGCGUUUACCGCUAACUUAGUCUCGUUACUUAAGUAAAAUUAGUUUUGGAAUUUCCAGAGGUCCUUGUUUUAAUACUCAUUGUCUAGGACACCGUUAUACCUCCAAAGACCGUCUACUCAGAACUCCCGUCCCAAAAGUUAGUCCAUGCUGCGGGGGACAUUACUCUAUCCGAAGAGCCAGAAAUAACAACCUACACGAACGCAGAUCAGGUAAGUACAUAAUGUAACGAAUAAACUAAUCGUUGUUGUCUAACAUACGUUUCGACUUUUCACAGUCUGAGGAACCCGUUGAGGCUAACCAAAAUUCUGAGAAGGUAAUUCAAUUAUCUUCUCCCAGCGAUCUUUUUUGACGUCGUAUAUGACUGCUUACACUCCCUUUGUACUUAGGAAAUCGAUCACUCACUGGACGCUCAACCUAUGGAUGUCGAUGAGCCUGUGGCUCAAGAAGUUGAGAUUGAAGAGGUAAUCCUCUUUCUCUGCCAGUAUCUUUCAAAGCCAUUUACAACUCAAUGUUCUCCCCCUUUUCAUUCCCACUGACCCUAUAAGUAUUGUGACACCUAAUCAGACGCACAUUCCUUUUUAUCUACUCGAAAUACCGUCUUUCUCACUCGGGCUCUCGCAGGAGGGUGCUGGGGGCGUCGAGGAGAUGCCCCACACCGCUACGGACGCUUCACCACCUCGGGGUCAGGAGCUAGAUGUGAUUGAGCAGCGCAAGAGCAAAAGGCCUAGGUCAAGACCAGCUGUGCUCCAAGACUACAAGUGCGAUCCUAAAGUAUCUUCCGGUUUAUGCAUCAUCCCCGAUCUAGACCACCGAUUCAAGCGUAUGGAGGGGACGCUGCAAACGGAAGCGUAAGCAUGACGAAAACAUAGUUAUUACUGUUACAGGUUUUUUUAACAGCACAAUCAUCUCAUUAACCGCUACCGUUUAUUUUACGGGGGUAAAAAUAUUCUUAAUGACCUCUCCCUCACUCCCGCCGAGUUUUGUGGUAUUGGAUAUCGCAUGAACAUUUUACCUAGGGGGGUAAGUCUCUCUCCUAAAUCCCAAUAGUAUCUCUCAUCUAUACUAACUGGUUUAUUUUGCUAUAGGUCGUGGAUGUCCUUGUCGGAUACUUGUCUCGAGCCCUAGCGUCUGUUUCAACCGUGGCAAUUUACGACACCACCCUUCCUGUAGCUUUAAUGAACCAGACUACUCGCUUCAACAAGACCGCAGUUAAAGAUCGUGCGAAGCUGAAGUUCACGACAGUCCCGCUCCCAAAACCCUUGGUGAAAUCUCCCGAUAGGAUUUAUUUCCCAUUCAACCUUGACAAGCAACACUGGGUUGGAGUUUGCAUUGAUAUGAAAGCAUGGACUCUCUUGGUGCUGGACUGCAACACAACCUUUCGAAGUGACAGCUUACUUAAGAAAGAGCUCAACCCUAUUGCUACCCUCAUCCCAUACGUUCUUAAGUACGCUGGCUAUAUGGAAACCAUCCCCUAUGGGAAGGCCUUUACCGUAUCGCGGUGCAAGGGAAUACCGCAAAUCACUUCUCAGUCGGAUGCAGGGGUCAUGGCUGUGCUAUUGAUAGAAGCUCACGCGGCGGAGGGUUUGGGUGGUUGCAAGUCUAUCACUCCGCGUCUGCUUCCUGAGGCAUCCAAGCAAUUGGUCGUUAAACUAUUCGAGUCCAUCUAUAUGUAACCUUGUCUUUCGCUCUUAAAUCCUGCAACUCUGUAUUUUGUUUUGGAACUUUUUUCUCUGUUCGCCUACAAAACAUUGUAAGGUUAAAACAAUUAUGUUAACUCGGUAACACUACAGUUUUUAUCUUUAUACAUGCUCAUCACUUUUAGGGUCCACAUCCCCACUUAGCCGUAAACUAAGUGGUUAGUGUCUAACUAAACAGUUACCAAUCCGUUAACAUCUAACGCAACAGUUAGUAUCUCCCUUUAAGCUCGCUACUCUUUGUUUCUAUAUCCCCCCCAAUUAGCUGUUAACUUCUUUAUUAACAUAUAACGUAUCAGGUGCCAAUCCAAACUUAUAUAACAUGUCAAUUCUGUCUUGCUCCCAUUUCUUUGGGGUAAUCUAAAACUAUCUGGACCGGCUGUCUAUUGGGAAUAUUACGCACAUUUCGAAAAUAAUUAUGUUAACUCGGUAACACCACAGUUAUUUCCUGGUGUAUACACACUUAGCCACUAACUCCGUGCUUAACACCUAACGUAACAGUAUACAAUCCAACAUUCUAUAGCAUGUCAUUGCUCCCAAUUCGUUGGUUUUAUACAAAACUAGCAUGUGUGAUAUUUUUGAUUUAGACAUUCUAUAACAUGUCAUUGCUCCCAUUCUCUGUUCGCCUACAAAACAUUGCAAGGCUAAAACAAUUAUGUUAACUCGGUAACACUACAGUUAUUAUCUCUAUACAGGCUCGCCAUUUUUGCGGUCUACAUCCCCACUUAGCCGUAAACUAAGUGGUUAAUGUCUAACGAAACAAUUACCACUUAGUUUACAUCUAACGCAACAGUUAUUAUCUCCCUUUAAGCUUGCUACUUUUGGUGUCUAUACCCCACCAAUUAGCUCUUAACUUCGUUAUUAACAUAUAACGUAUCAGGUCCCAAUCCAAACUUAUAUAACAUGUCAGUCCAAUCCAACAUUCUGUAACAUGUAUACACUUAGCCGCUAACUCCGUGCUUAACACCUAACAUAACAGUAUACAAUCCAACAUUCUAUAACAUGUCAUUGCUCCCAUUUCGUUGGUUUUAUACAAAACUAGCACGUGUGAUAUUUUUGAUUUAUACUCUUAUAAUUCAACUAGCUUAUGUGAUAUCUGUCCUGCUCCCAUCUAACUGGUCAUAUUUCCAACUCAAAGGUGAACACCUAAGAUACUCGUUUUCUUAAUAAUGUUCGACUUACCAUACUAACAUUCUUUGCAGCGUUCAAACGCAAUAAGUUUGUGGCGAACGCAUUUAAAAAAUAACCAUAACAUAAAAUGGGGGAGUCUUUAUUCAUACCCUCCAUUGCACUUACAUAUGUGUCAAUGGGGAAAGCUUAGGGAAACUUAGUUUAAUACAUCAUAUCAAAAGAAGGUCGCCCCAGAUCUGACCAUUACAAAAGAUACACAACCACUCCACUCACCCCUACAUACUUAGUCUUCGUCUUUUCCCUCAGAUAGGCAUCUUACACGUGACCUUGUUAUGGUCCGUCCCUCCACACCUGCUGCAGGCCCUGCGGCGCUUGAAAGCACCACUAACCUGCAAGUAGACAAUAGUUACAGCGUUAUCUUUUUAUUUGCACCCUAACAUUACACGUAACUGAUAACAUUAUAACGAACAUAUUUUAGAUUCCAACCUUGAACUCCCCACGAGAUGCAAAUCUUGCCUUCCUUGGCCUACCAGGGGGGCGGCGAGUUGCUGGAGGAAGGAGGUGGCCAUCUUCCCCGUCCACACCAAACUUGUACACCGCAAUGUUGGCUUGCUCCACCGGCUUGAUGCUCCCACUGUAUGCUGACGCCUAGUACGCGUUGCUGUAUAACACAUCAACUCUAUUCUCAACUGGCUCCUUUCCGUACACAGAAGCAGACACGGCAUGCGCACAAGGUAUCGCCAGCGCAUCAAACUGCUUGCAAGAACAAGUUUUAUUAUCUAGAUCCACACGGUAAUACAUCCCCUGUCCAUCAACCACCUCGUACUCAUUGUCGAUGAUGUGUUUGACCGCAUAUCCCGUUGACUCGGUGAAGUUCUUCAUCAAAAUCUCAGCAGCUUUCGGAGUUAGUGCACCUACGUUUUUUGCGGCUGCAUCGCGCCUCGCGGAGAACCAUCCCAUCAUCAUUGAUCUAAUAUACUCCAGCAAAGGAACGAUAGGGUACUCCCUAGCCUCAGAUAGUGCGGCGUUUAGGGAUUCGGCGAGGUUACUUGUCAUUAUGUUGUAUCUUGUCCCUUCGAAAUGGGACCUCGCCCAAUGCUCAAGCCCAAUCCGGAUUAGAUAAUCCGCACAAGCCAUGUCGAUCUGCUUGAUCUCGUUGAAGUGCAAGUAGAAAUCUUCCAGUUUGUACGUCCUGGCAGCUUUACCAAUCAGGUACAACAAAUGUUUCUUCUUGAAGAUGGUCUGCACGUUUCUUUGUAGAUGCAACAAGCAUGCACAGUGCUUAGAAGCGGGAUAGACCUGUUACCGAACACAACAUAAGUUAGCCGCUAUGAGAAUGAAUAACUAAUAAAAGCCACUACACCGCCGUGUGUUAACUACUAACAAUCCAGAUAACAACUAAUAUAUUCAGUUUAAGAUUAUCUCAAUACCCAAGAAUCAUAUUCAGGUGCUUACCCUGCGUAUUCCAGAGUAGAUAGCAGUGUGCCUGUCAGAGACAAAGACUAGGUUUUCAGCAUCAGGCACCACAGCAGUGAGUUUGUGGAAGAACCACGUCCAUGAUGCAUCAUUCUCGCUGUCAACUAUCCCAAAUGCAAUCGGGAAUAUCUGAUAGUUCCCAUCCUGCGCACUUGCUGUGAGCAAACAACCCGCAAACUUCCCCUUCAAGUGAGUCCCAUCGAUGAUGAUCACCUUUCUCAUGAAACUUAACCCCUUAAUGCUUGCCCCAAAUGACAGGAAUAGAUAUUUAAAACGCUGGACACUUCCAGGUCCUUUGUUUGUCUCCAAUGCAACCGUUGUCCCAGGAUUCGCAAUGGCUAGAUGCUGCAGGUAUGAAGGCAAUGUACUAUAUGACUCCUCCGCAUUGCCACGCCAAUUCUCUAUGGCAAUCUCCCUGGACUUCCAAGCAGUCCAGUACGAUAUCGGGACACUAUGGUCCGUUCUCAUCAUAUCCCUCAAUGCUGCUGGUCUUGGUCCACUCCCCGUGCCAACGUACUUGCUUCUCAUAAUACCUCCCACAACUGACGCGGUUGCGUGUCUCUUGAACUCGCCCCUCUCGUCAACAGUGCACUGGUGGGCACUUUCCAAUGUUUUGAUUUCAAAUCUAGCGCACCCAGACAUCUUAGCAGCGUACACUCACCAUUGACAGUUAACGCCACUGCAUUCCAGCACAACUUUGCCCGGUUCGGAUUUUCUAACAAAGUAUCGGUACUUGUUAGCCAGUGCAUGGAGUGACAUGUGGACCUUGAAAGCAUCCCUGUCGACGAAGACUUGUCCCACGUAGAGAUUGUCAUACUUUGCCAUUUCCUCAUCGCCUGAUUUCAACAUAUCAGCAUAAAGUUAGGCCAUAUAUAAUAACGUAACAUCUAAUAUACAUGUUAACAGAUAAAGGAUUUGGUAACUGCUAUGAUAGAUAUGAUUUCUCCUUACCUUCGUCACCCGCAUUGACAUCAUGGCCGGUAUAAGCCCCCUCAGGGUUUGGAUAAGCAUCCUCACUUGCAUCCCCACUCCCUGACCACAUCUGAAGGCUGAACAUUGGCCCUCCACCCAUUCCAGACUCAGUCAUAAUACCCUUGCCCUUGUCAGUAGACCCAGAGGCCACGUCAUUGUUGAUAGCUAAUGAAAAGUUUUACAGUAAAUGAGUUACUUAACGGUACAACCUAAUAGUUAAUCAUUACGUAAACAACGUGCUACCUAUUGCCAGGGUUAGACCAGCCUCUGGUUGUUGUUCAGUAGUCAUCUCUUCAAGUCGGAUCAUACCUUCACCAUCUUGAGUGAAAACUUCCAUUUCAUCCGAUGAAUCACUCUCAGAGGAUACUCCAUCCAUCACCUCUAGUGGAUGCAAUAUCUCUCGCUUUGUCAAACGCACAGCGGUCCUUCGGAUUUCCUCCAUCUGCUCACUGCUGCAGAUGGUCAUCAACCUCUCUUCGCUAACUUGCAGAUAACCUCCCGAGCGAAAACCUCAGCAUACAAGAACAUAGGUUAGCACCUACUAACACACCUUAACAACUAAAAUAACGGGUAUCAAAACAUCUACCUCUCCAUGGGAUGGGUUUCGGUGGAACAACAUCAGUUCCGUCUUCGGUAAGGCCGAACUCCUCCCUCUGAAUUUGGCUGUAACGCGCCACGUCCACGUUGCCAUACGUCACGCACAACAUCAAGUUUGCGAAGUCCAUUCUCACCGCCAUGAAGAGCUCCACAUCUUUGUCAUCUAGUAUGUCAACAGGCGGUGUGGUGUAGUCUCCAGGAACUUUCAUCCACUCAGGGAAGUCAUAAGUUAAAGCAACAGGCUCGGUAUGGUGUAUUUGGUAUUUCCCCCUCACCAUAGCCACCAAUUCCUCGUAAGUCUCAUUCUCCUUCAACACAAGAUCAUAUUUCACAUCGACGUGAUUGAUGUCGAACCUCCAGGUACCAUGGGCAAAUCUUUGCCAGUCGCCAACAACAACUCUCACCAGGUGGCCCAUUGAUGAACUUGUACAAGCUCUGUAGUUGCUGUAAACAAAUACAUAACAUAUAUUGUUAAUCUCAACUCAACCUCAGACCAACUAAAUUAGUUAACAACUAGCCAAAUACGAAGAUACUAGUAUUUUAACAUGAUUACAGAUGACUAAAUAUCUUACAUUUCCCCUAAGAGAGAACGAACACUGUCAAGCGAGUUCCUAACCUUUAAACUCCUAAUCACAGUUUCCGUUUUCACUUAAUCUCCCAUACAAACCUCUCUCCCCUCUGCUAAGUAAAUAUAUUUUUAUCUAUAAAUCCUAGUACCAAUCACGUCAACCAAUACGCAACCACCGUUACACUUACCGAAGCAAUUGUCAUCAUAACCCGUUUUUACCCAGCGGUUCUUCGCCUCCGGCGCCUCUUUGUGUCAGUCACGUCCCUCUGCACACGCGAGCUCAUAAUCCCGCUUUAUCUGUUCCCUGACACACGUGCGUCGUACCACCGAACAAGCGCCACAAUAAGGAAGGGUAAAAUCGUCCAUUUCGUGUUGAAAGGGUACUCAGUUUACCCAUUUCGAAACCCAUGGACAUUUCACAGUUUUGGGCCUCUGUUGGGGAUAUUACGCACAUUCACUCUAUUUUAUUUAGUCAAAAAUUUCAGACUAUAAACUUUUUUGUGAAACUUCAUAAAUUCUUGAAACAUCAACAAGAAAUGAAACGAUGAUGAAAUGAAAGUUAUGAUUCAAACGUCUAAUAAAGGCAUUUAUAAUUUUGUAGGAUUUUAAAAUAGAAAAAACGUAAGAAAUUAAUUAAAAAUUAUGUAUGUAUGUUUAUAAAGAAAUCAACAGUUAGGGUGUUACCUAAACACAGGGUAAGAGAGAUGGGGGUUGUAAACUAUAGCUAUGAUUUCAAUUGCUAAUAAUGUGUUGUUCUACAAUCUAUUUGCGCCACCUUUUUAACCUUUUGUUACAUCUACACACAGAUUAGUAAACGAGGAAGCAGUUUUACCAAGACUUUGUCAUUAGGGGAUAAAUUAACUUUCUCCAUCGUUUAAUGCUUUGUUCAAUGGCUUCUUAAGUAUCCGCAUAGUUUGAGAGGCUUAGGUAGUGAGUGCCCAAUUCAAAUAUUGCUACACCAAAACAUUUGCUAUCUUCUGGUCAAUAAUAGAUCCCACAGAUAUUUGUAUGAAUCUGUAUGUAUUUUAAAAUUAUGGCGACAAUUAAUCUUCAGAUAAUUUUGAAUCAACGUGGAGGCUUUUUAACCAUUUUUUCUUUGUAUAAUAUUUUAUGUUUGAUAUUAUUUAAAUUGAAGCCAUUAAAAGUGGAAGCUCCACCAGUCUUCCCAAAUUCAACUGUCCUCAUCACCCCAAAAAAAUUCAACGUUCAGGAGUCUGUAAGUCUCUUCUUUUUUUAACUUGACACUGACUCGAAACAUUUUUCUUUUCCCAAAUCACGAAUUCGAAAACAAUUGCUUUUUUUUUUCCAAAACAUAGAAAUAAUAAAAUAAUACUCUUUCCGUUUCUAAAUAAAUAUCACUUUGAAAUUUUUCAAUCAGAUUAAAAAAGUGACGGAAAUAUACGUAAAUUGUUAUUAAUUACACUUCCUGACCAAUAGUAUUUGAGAUAAAUAAAAUUAUUUAUAAAACAAUGCAGUUUUCAAUUAAUUUUAAAA